This 475-nucleotide ribosomal RNA is filed under the name uncultured bacterium. Its description in RNAcentral is "bacterial SSU rRNA". It matches the Rfam family "Bacterial small subunit ribosomal RNA", at positions 38 to 518 of the family's 1533-position model. The record is from RNAcentral.
CUGGACGGCGGUGCUUAACACAUGCAAGUCGAACGAGGAUCAUGGAGAGCUGCUCGAAAUGAUUCGAGUGGCGGACAGGUGAGUAACGCGUGAGGAACCUGUCUCACACAGGGGAAUAACGCAUCGAAAGAUGUGCUAAUACCGCAUAGGACCACGGGAGGGCAUCCUUCUGAGGUGAAAGGAGCAAUCCGGUGUGAGGUGGACUCGCGUCUGAUUAGAUAGUUGGUGAGGUAACGGCCCACCAAGUCAACGAUCAGUAGCCGACCUGAGAGGGUGAUCGGCCACAUUGGGACUGAGACACGGCCCAGACUCCUACGGGAGGCAGCAGUGGGGAAUAUUGGGCAAUGGGCGCAAGCCUGACCCAAGCAACGCCGCGUGAAGGAAGAAGGUUUUCGGAUCGUAAACUUCUGUCCUAUGUGAAGAUAGUGACGGUAGCAUAGGAGGAAGCCCCGGCUAACUACGUGCCAGCAGCUGC